AGGAACCUGCCUCGAAGAGGGGGACAACAGUUGGAAACGACUGCUAAUACCGCAUAAGCCCACGACCCGGCAUCGGGAAGAGGGAAAAGGAGCAAUCCGCUUUGAGAUGGCCUCGCGUCCGAUUAGCUAGUUGGUGAGGUAACGGCCCACCAAGGCGACGAUCGGUAGCCGGACUGAGAGGUUGAACGGCCACAUUGGGACUGAGACACGGCCCAGACUCCUACGGGAGGCAGCAGUGGGGAAUAUUGCACAAUGGGGGAAACCCUGAUGCAGCGACGCCGCGUGGAGGAAGAAGGUCUUCGGAUUGUAAACUCCUGUUGUUGAGGAAGAUAAUGACGGUACUCAACAAGGAAGUGACGGCUAACUACGUGCCAGCAGCCGCGGUAAAACGUAGGUCACAAGCGUUGUCCGGAAUUACUGGGUGUAAAGGGAGCGCAGGCGGGCGAUCAAGUUGGAAGUGAAAUCCAUGGGCUCAACCCAUGAACUGCUUUCAAAACUGGUCGUCUUGAGUAGUGCAGAGGUAGGCGGAAUUCCCGGUGUAGCGGUGGAAUGCGUAGAUAUCGGGAGGAACACCAGUGGCGAAGGCGGCCUACUGGGCACCAACUGACGCUGAGGCUCGAAAGUGUGGGUAGCAAACAGGAUUAGAUACCCUGGUAGUCCACACCGUAAACGAUGAUUACUAGGUGU
This 687-nucleotide ribosomal RNA is filed under the name uncultured bacterium. RNAcentral's name for it is "bacterial SSU rRNA". It matches the Rfam family "Bacterial small subunit ribosomal RNA", at positions 120 to 823 of the family's 1533-position model. The record is from RNAcentral.